ACUCCAAUCUGCUUAUAAAUUUGACUUAUAGAUUUAUAGAUUUAUGAUAAAACAUCUACCGAUUUAAGAUGUAUACACUCACAUAUGAUGUCUGGUCACCAAUGUUCGAAUAUUUACAAAUUAAUGCUAUCAAUAUAGAGCGAUUGAUUUAAUACAAUAAGGUUACUGUGAUUUCAGUAGCGAGUUACAACUAGAUCGAACGAGCAAAAUGUUGCAAUUGAAGCUUUUUUUUGAAAUUCUUGCUACCCCG
Cinara cedri is the source of this 250-nucleotide non-coding RNA. The record is from the annotation of a GenBank genome assembly. NCBI's taxonomy places the organism in Eukaryota, Metazoa, Arthropoda, Insecta, Hemiptera, Aphididae.